CACAUUUUAAAUUUUGUCAGAUGGCAGCACUAUUCAUUCGAAAUGUUAUAGAUGAAAGAAUUUUAUUCUAUUUUACUGAAUAAGAAAAAUGGAUGGAACAUUGAUUUACCAAGUUAAAAUUUUUCUACUGAUUUGGUUUGGAUUCAUAAAAUGGACAUCAUCGUGGGAUAGAGGCUGCGGUGAGUUAUUUCGAACUACAUAUCCCUGCUUAAUGCUACAUAAGGGAUGUAAAUUAAUCCAAAGUACUAGGCAAGAUAAAGAUUGGUGUCGCAACAACAAUGGAGGAUGCCAACAUUUAUGUGAAAAUCACAUGUUUGGACCAAAAUGCAAGUGCAGAAAAGGAUAUCAAUUAGGAUCAGACGGAAAAUCGUGCAAUGAUAUUAACGAAUGCUUACUCGCUGAUACAUGUCCUCGGUAUACAAAGGCCCUUUGUAUCAACUUACCUGGUAGUUACAUUUGUAAAUGUCCGAAAAAUUUAAAUAUGUUAGGUGAAACAGCAGUAAUUAAUGACAAAAAAGAGAUUUUUAUCAAAUGUGUAGCUCGCUAUUGGUGUAAUGAAAUCUGCCAUCAUUAUUGUACUAUUUCUGGAAAAUCACCGUAUAAAUGCCAAUGCUUCGAUUAUUAUCGUUUACAAAAUAGCACUUGUGUUCCUAGUUGCGGUGUUAACGAUGGAGAAUGUCAAAAAUAUUGUUAUAAUACUCCGACCGGAACAACAUGUAAAUGUGAUAAAGGAGAACAACUGGCAGCAGAUGGAAAAACAUGCAAAGGUGCUCCUUCAGAAGAAGCAUUUAAUGCUCAAAUUAACGUCACAGUUGAAUGCAAUAUACCGAAUACAGGUGAGAGAUAUCCGGAGACAUUGGUACUUAUUUACAAUACAGAACGUUUAAGACUUAAAGGUGAAGUAUGCCUAACGUAUGAACUCGAAGUGAAGCCAAAAGAAAAAUAUCGAGCCCUUCAAUAUUAUGUAGAGGCAUUCGAAAAUCCUCCUUUUAUAUCUCGUGAAGACAAAGUUAUUGUAACAAAUGCAAAAAAAUUAUACGAAAGAAGAAUUACAAUUCAAAAUAUAGAGAAAAAAUUUGCAAUCCGUAUAAAAGCAGAAAUAAAUGUCAAUGUGGUAUCUUAUUUAAGGAAUAUUACUUUAUAUCCAGGAAACUGCAGAAGCGGAGGAAAACAUGCCAGAUAGGAAAAUCGGUCGAGAUGAUUACAUAUCGACCAGAUUCGUGAUUAGGCUGAAAAUGUGGAAAAGCGAGAUGGUUUUUUAAAGGAAAAGAAACUGAAAUCAAUGAAGCGUCGGUGGUACAGAGACACCUAUGCACGAGGUUAGAAGAGGUAAAGUCUCCAACCCAGAGUUAGAAUUGCCUACAAUGGAGGACCAGCUGUCGAACGAAACUGCAGACGACAACCAGAACCGACGUGAACGCCAUCUCUUUAUACCAUCUGUUCUGGUCAACAUGGAUUUCAUUAAAGUCGCCUUAAAUUUCGAUAUGAAAAAAAUGAGAUUCGAGUGGAAAUGCGGUUCGAAGAAUUUGGUCGACUCAGAUUUGGAAACUAACAAGUAAGUUUUGAUUGAUAAGCUUUCACUGUUUAAACUCAUUUUAAUAAUAUUAAAAAAAUGUUAUAAUGAUAUCGAUUCUAUAUGAGCACACCGUUAUGUUUACUUUUACUCUCUUCGUGUGUGUGUCUUUUCUCUGCAAGUCUUCCUAUUUUAUGCAACUCUUUUCUACUUAAAAGUUACUUAUAUAUAUAAAAUAAUCCAAAAAUUUUAUAUUUUUACUAAUGAAAGUCUUUAGUUAUAAAAGCUUCUAAUUUUCUUAUUGUAAUAAGAAUGGUUUCUUCUGUCAUUUUUACUAUCACUUCUCCUCUGCCACGUUGCACUUAGUAACACUAAGUCAGAUUUCUUUUCUGAAGUACAAAGAUGCAGAAAAUAACUCUGGAUCAAUAAGCAGUGGCGCCAAAGCUAGUGGGUGACCUCCUUUUACUUUAGUAGAGAUGACACUAGCCGAAAAUUUUGGAUGUAUAAUUGUAUAAAAGAAGCUUUUCUCCACAUUUUCAUCAUGAUACGACAAAACGACAAUAUCGAUCGUGUUGCUCAUACAUCAAUUCGACGAUUUUUGUGCUAUAAUAAAAGAAUCCAAAUAUAAUAUUGCAACGAUUUAAUACGAUACUGAUAAUGUAUACCAAGUUCGACUUACUUUAAUUUCUUGUGAUUAAAAAAUUGAUCUUUUACCACUUUUAAAUGCAAUUUAAAAAUUUCUUGGAAAUUGGCUCCUUGCCCGUUAAGGCCGCACGGUACCGGUUGUGCUUUCAUGACGAUACAUUCUAUUUCCAUAAUUCAAAAAAAGAAAUUCCUUUCCCCAGUAACUCCAUGGAUAUUUUAAAAGUUAUUAAAAUUUCAACCAUAGGAGAAAGUAAAGCUACCCAGAGCAUAUGGCGGAUAGAAGUUUUUAUAACUUUUUAAAUGAGUUAAAAUCCAUUAAGCGGAUCACAAAUUCUUUUCUUUUGCGAUAAACAACUUACCCUGCCAUCUAUGAUUGAAAUAGAAAGCAACGUUGAGAGAACUAAGUGAAUAAAAUAAGGAUGAAAACUAUCUUCUUUCCAUUUAUCAUCUCUGCAAACCAUCCGCAUUAUUCUAAUCUCCUCUAUAGCGAUGGCUAACUCGUCCUAGAAAAAAAAGCUCGGCGACGCAAAGAAAAUAGUUUCGAGGUCACGUGAUUUCUCCCACGUGGUACUCGAUCGAAGUACUUUAUCGAUCUAAUGACUCCUCUAAAUAUUUCCAGUUACUUCAACUACAUUAAACUUGUAAUUAUCAUUAAGAUAGAAAGAAGCGAUCUUUAAUAAGAAUACAAUAGUAAUUAUGUUUUAAGAAUGUUUCAUUUCCGUACGGAGAGAACCUAUUUCCUGAAAUUUAUAAAUCCUGGAAAAAAUGACAUUUAAGAAUUUAUGUUUAUUUGCAAGAAAAUUGAAAUCAGGUGUAGUUGUUGGUCUGCAGGUAAGCGAUCGAAUGUUUGAAAGGGCGGUAUCAACGGGACAUCAGACCCAAACCGUUAUUCUAAUGGCCUAGUUUUCCCGCCAUGCACCAUGAGACAAAAUUGACAAACGACUGCAACCAGUUCAGUAAAGUCGGCUUGCAUGAGGAGUGCUGCUCGCUUUAGCGUCAGAACAUGAUCAUUACUGUAGCGGAAAGUAUCGAAAAUUUUAUCGGGUAAGAGUAAAAUCUUUUUCAUUUUUAAUGAAAUUUUAAAUUUAUAUACCUGUUAAUCAUACUUUGCAGUAUUUUCGCCAAGUGUUAUUAUUAUUUUAAAAAUUCUAUAAAGUAAACGAAACUUAAUCACUUCUCUGCAUAACAAUUAACUAUGCGGGAAAGUAAGACGUA
This 3373-nucleotide unclassified non-coding RNA is filed under the name Centruroides sculpturatus (bark scorpion). Its description in RNAcentral is "signal peptide, CUB and EGF-like domain-containing protein 2, transcript variant X1". Lineage: Eukaryota; Metazoa; Arthropoda; Arachnida; Scorpiones; Buthidae. The record is from RNAcentral.